UGUGCACCGGUGGGGUCCCUCGGCCUGGCCUGUGGGGAUUGGGCUGAAACCGGCUCUCUGACACCCCCAGAUUUGGAGAGGGCGCAGGCCAGGCUGAGGGACCCCACUGGUGCACA
RNAcentral lists this microRNA precursor (116 nucleotides) under Myotis lucifugus (little brown bat). RNAcentral describes it as "mir-9193 microRNA precursor family". The record is from Rfam by way of RNAcentral. Lineage: Eukaryota; Metazoa; Chordata; Mammalia; Chiroptera; Vespertilionidae.